AAAAACAUCGCCUCCCGCAAAAACCAAUAUAUGGGAGGUCUUACCUGCCCAGUGACAACUAGUUAAACGGCCGCGGUAUUUUGACCGUGCUAAGGUAGCGCAAUCACUUGUCUUUUAAAUGAAGACCUGUAUGAAUGGUGGAACGAGGGCUUAACUGUCUCCCUUUUUAGGUCAGUGAAAUUGAUCUGCCCGUGCAGAAGCGGGCAUAAACAUACAAGACGAGAAGACCCUUUGGAGCUUAAGACAUAAAGCCAACUGUGUCAAAAACCCAAAUCAAAAAGAAGCUAAACAAAACAGCAAAACUGGCUGACGUCUUCGGUUGGGGCGACCGCGGGGUAAAACAAAACCCCCACGUGGAAUGGGAAAACUCCUAAUACCAAGAGAGACAUCUCUAAGUCACAGAACAUCUGACCAAAUGAUCCGGCCACAUAGACCGAUCAACGGACCAAGUUACCCUAGGGAUAACAGCGCAAUCCCCUCCAAGAGUUCAUAUCGACAAGGGGGUUUACGACCUCGAUGUUGGAUCAGGACAUCCUAAUGGUGCAGCCGCUAUUAAGGGUUCGUUUGUUCAACGAUUAAAGUCCUACGUGAUCUGAG
Molecule: ribosomal RNA, 597 nt
Filed under: Chalceus macrolepidotus (pinktail chalceus)
Lineage: Eukaryota; Metazoa; Chordata; Actinopteri; Characiformes; Chalceidae
Description: partial 16S large subunit ribosomal RNA
Rfam family: Bacterial large subunit ribosomal RNA
Source: RNAcentral